RNAcentral lists this ribosomal RNA (470 nucleotides) under uncultured bacterium. RNAcentral's name for it is "bacterial SSU rRNA". It matches the Rfam family "Bacterial small subunit ribosomal RNA", at positions 1 to 523 of the family's 1533-position model. The record is from RNAcentral.
GGAAGAGUUUGAUCCUGGCUCAGAACGAACGCUGGCGGCAGGCCUAACACAUGCAAGUCGAGCGCCCCGCAAGGGGAGCGGCGGACGGGUGAGUAACGCGUGGGAACGUACCCUUUGCUACGGAAUAGCCUCGGGAAACUGGGAGUAAUACCGUAUGUGCCCUUCGGGGGAAAGAUUUAUCGGCAAAGGAUCGGCCCGCGUUGGAUUAGGUAGUUGGUGGGGUAAUGGCCUACCAAGCCGACGAUCCAUAGCUGGUUUGAGAGGAUGAUCAGCCACACUGGGACUGAGACACGGCCCAGACUCCUACGGGAGGCAGCAGUGGGGAAUCUUAGACAAUGGGCGCAAGCCUGAUCUAGCCAUGCCGCGUGAGCGAUGAAGGCCUUAGGGUUGUAAAGCUCUUUCAGUGGGGAAGAUAAUGACUGUACCCACAGAAGAAGCCCCGGCUAACUCCGUGCCAGCAGCCGCGGUAA